This 410-nucleotide ribosomal RNA is filed under the name uncultured Oscillatoria sp. RNAcentral's name for it is "bacterial SSU rRNA". It matches the Rfam family "Bacterial small subunit ribosomal RNA", at positions 153 to 595 of the family's 1533-position model. Lineage: Bacteria; Bacillati; Cyanobacteriota; Cyanophyceae; Oscillatoriales; Oscillatoriaceae. The record is from RNAcentral.
GAAACGGGAGCUAUACCGGAUGUGCCGAAAGGUGAAAGGUUUACUGCCUGGGGAAGGAGCUCGCGUCUGAUUAGCUAGUUGGUGGGGUAAAAGCCUACCAAGGCGACGAUCAGUAGCUGGUCUGAGAGGAUGAGCAGCCACACUGGGACUGAGACACGGCCCAGACUCCUACGGGAGGCAGCAGUGGGGAAUUUUCCGCAAUGGGCGAAAGCCUGACGGAGCAAGACCGCGUGGGGGAGGAAGGCCUUUGGGUUGUAAACCCCUUUUGUCAGGGAAGAAGACAGUGACGGUACCUGACGAAUCAGCCUCGGCUAACUCCGUGCCAGCAGCCGCGGUAAUACGGAGGAGGCAAGCGUUAUCCGGAAUAAUUGGGCGUAAAGCGUCCGUAGGUGGCCCGGCAAGUCUGUUGU